RNAcentral lists this long non-coding RNA (1021 nucleotides) under Sorghum bicolor (sorghum). RNAcentral's name for it is "long non-coding RNA (SBIC_LNC003779)". The record is from RNAcentral. Lineage: Eukaryota; Viridiplantae; Streptophyta; Magnoliopsida; Poales; Poaceae.
GCAAGACUCUAUAUUAUUUAUGAUAUUUUACUGAUGUGGCACUAUAUUUAUUGAAGAAAGAGGUAGAAAAAAUAAAACUACAAGUCUUACUUAGACUCCAAGUCUACAUUGCUCGAGGUAAUAAAUAAUUUUAGACUCCAUGAUAGAGUCUGUAUUGUAAGUGCCCUAAGUUCUUCUAGACCAGAUCACCCCAGGCUCCCCUUUCGGUGUUUGGAAUAACCUCAGUUCUGAUAGGCCCUCAACGCCUCGUGUCUUGUGAUUUUGCAGCACGUGGUUCUUCGCCAGUUGAAGAGGGUCCUUAGCUUGCAGUUGCAGCUGGACCUGGAUGGCUCGACUGCUAGAAGAUUCAGGUGUGUAGUACUAGUAUGUGUCUGCUCCUGUAGGACUGUAGGAGGGAGAACGUCAGCUUGUAAAGCAGCGUGUUACCGAUAAUUUCAUUUGAAUCUAUACAGUGUGAUCGAGUGAUAGUACCAUUUUGCCAUCUUAUUUAGGACAUGUUUGGAUCACAUAUUCACUGUUAUUAGGCCCCUUUUGGUAGCUUUUAUUGGGUCUGGCUUCUUGACACAUUCAUGAUUCACACAAGCUAAAACCGGUGGGAGCUUUAGACCCUGUUUAGUUUCCCACCUAAAAUUUUUUUAUCCAUUCCAUCAAAUAUUUAGACACAUACAUGGAAUAUUAAAUAUAGAUAAAAAAUAAAUUAAUUACACAGUUUGGUUGAAAAUCACGAGACGAAUCUUUUAAGCCUAGUUACUCUAUUAUUAGCCUUAAGUGCUACAGUAACCUACAUGUGCUAAUGACAGAUUAAUUAUGUUUAAUACAUUUGUCUUGUAGUUUCACGAGUUAUGUAAUUGUUUUUUUAUUAGUUUCUAAAACCUCUUUCGAUAUUCUUCCGACACAUCCGAUAUAACACAUAAAAAAAUUUCAUCUCCAAUCUAAACAUGACCUACCAAAUGGAGCCUCAACUGAGGUCCUAUUGAUCUUUAGGCCUUGUUUAGUUCACUCCAAAAACCAAAAUCUUUUC